ACUCCAUUGCCACGGGCAGUAGCAGCUGCUGGAAGAUGGCCAUGUAGUCCCCGUCGCCCAUUCCUGUCUCAUUGAGCGGCACAUUGAAGUUGAAGCCCAGGCCAGGGCCCUCGCCUAUGGCAUGGUAGUCCGACUCCUGCAGAUGUGGCCAGAAGGCGCCGUGCUCGAGGCGAUGUAUUGCAUGCACCAACUCAAUGGCGUAUCCGCUAGCCCACAAGGCACUCAAAAAGGUAUACUGGAAAGGGUAUGGUAGUAGAAGACGUUAUCAACGAUGUGCCAUUUAAGAUUAGAAGAAUGAUUAAUCGGAUCUGUAUUAAAAGUAGGGAGCUGUGCCUUUAAUUUGGACUCUAAUAAGGGAUUUCCGAUGUGAAAUAUUACCAGAGGAACCCAAAAAUGUCACCCAUGAAAUAGACCCAAUGUUUAUCUUUAUAGAUAUAAUGCCUGAGGAAAGAUCCCUGAAAUCAUAAUAGAAGAAAGCGACAAUUCGAGAACCAGUAGUUCAAAUAGAAGACGAUUCUCUAGUGGAGUGGGAAAACGAAGUAGGAAUUCCAAAUCGGCAGGAGGAUAUUUUAAGUGAUUCAGACCAUCGGAUUCCGAACACUCAAGCGGUGGAAGAAGUGAUUUCUAGGGAGACGAAAAGAAAGAGGAAGCAGGAUUCAGUGGACAGUGCGAAGAAGAAAAUAUUAGAUGAACUCUCUCUCCUUGAAGGAGAAGCAAUACUAAGUAAAAAUCCCCUCAACUAGCGAGUGGUCCACGAUGUUUAUGGAACCAAAUACGACAUUGGAGACAUCCAAUAUGCAGACAAUUUUCAGGGGCCAUCCUUAUCAUCUCGCACCACGGAAACCAUAUCCACAUUGUCCACGACUGUAACUAUUCCAACCAUUCAUGUAGAAGCGCUUUUAACUCCUGUAUCCAAGAGUUUAUCGGUCGAAGAUUCGCUGGAUGAAUGGUUCCAAACUGGAAAUUUACGAUCCAACACUGGAUCAGAAGGUCUCAAGGCAGUUCCUUUACUGUAACCUCGCCCGGAAAACGUGGUUUUUAAGUGGGGAAGCUCGAUAUUUACAAUUCCGAAACAGAAAUGUUGGGACGAAGCGAACUAUCAUUCAACAUUCAUGACUUAAUCUCCCAUGGAUCCUCGUUAUCAAAUGGAUAUAAAUUAUUGGUAUUUUUGACGAACAAAAUCAAAUUAAUGCCUUUGUGCUUGGACGUUAACCGACGUUACGCUGGUAUUGGGAAACUACUAGUUCCUGUUGCCCAACACUGACAGGAGGAUCAGAAAGUGGCAUAGAACUUAAACGAUGACUCUUUAGGAUAAUAAAAGUCGAUGCCACCGA
Molecule: long non-coding RNA, 1334 nt
Organism: Drosophila miranda
Lineage: Eukaryota; Metazoa; Arthropoda; Insecta; Diptera; Drosophilidae
Exons: 2
Source: RefSeq, a predicted model, not a curated record